Molecule: ribosomal RNA, 402 nt
Filed under: uncultured bacterium
Lineage: Bacteria
Description: bacterial SSU rRNA
Rfam family: Bacterial small subunit ribosomal RNA
Source: RNAcentral
UAUUGCACAAUGGGCGCAAGCCUGAUGCAGCCAUGCCGCGUGUGUGAAGAAGGCCUUCGGGUUGUAAAGCACUUUCAGUCAGGAGGAAAGGUUAGUAGUUAAUACUUGCUAGCUGUGACGUUACUGACAGAAGAAGCACCGGCUAACUCCGUGCCAGCAGCCGGGGUAAUACGGAGGGUGCGAGCGUUAAUGGGAAUUACUGGGGGUAAAGGGUACCCAGGCGGUUUGUUAAGCGAGAUGUGAAAGCCCCGGGCUCAACCUGGGAACUGCAUUUUGAACUGGCAAAUUAGAGUGUGAUAGAGGGGGGUAGAAUUUCAGGUGUACCGGUAAAAUGGGUAGAGAUCGGAAGGAAUACCGAGGGGAAGGCAUCCACCGGGGUCAACACUGACGUUCAUUACGAAG